RNAcentral lists this long non-coding RNA (7555 nucleotides) under Zostera marina. RNAcentral describes it as "long non-coding RNA (ZMAR_LNC001152)". The record is from RNAcentral. Lineage: Eukaryota; Viridiplantae; Streptophyta; Magnoliopsida; Alismatales; Zosteraceae.
CGAUCUCGGUUCCGCCGUCGUCCACACUCCUCCCCUCUUUUCCAAUUUUACUCUUAAUCGGGUGUUUCGCUAAUCGGGUUAUUACAGAUUUACUCUCCCUUUUUACGAUUUAACCCUAGGAAAUUAGGAAUUGAGUUUAUCAAGUGAUACCUGUUGAUAAUUUGCAAUUAUUUUCUUAAAUCGGCAGACGACGGUUUCUUCCCCGCAUCGGUUUCACUUCGCCGGUAACCCUAGGAAUUGACUAAGUGAAGAAGAGGGAUGGAAUGAAUGCUUUGUUGGAGGAGAUUUUGGCAACUUGAAUCUCCAUAUGUUUCGUUCUUGCCCAAACCACUGGAUUGUUGACCAUGAAUAAUACAAACUUGCUGUCACUUAAAAUGUGCCGUGCGUUUGGUAAUUGAAUGAAUACCCAAUUAUUGAACGAGGCAACAGAAGCAUCUGUUUAAUCUCAGGUUCAUUUUACAUUUUUCCCUUCUUUAUUUAACAUCAUUUUUCAAGAUAAUUCCUGAUAAAUAAGGGAUUACAAAUCCUAUUUUACAAUCCAUCUGAAGUAGUGAGCAACUCUAGUUUCUGAAUUUGUUGCAAAUGAUGUCAUAAAGAACACUGAUUACGCUCCGAGAAGUGUCUUCUGGUAUCUUUAGAAGAUUGGCUACUUUCAUGAAUCCCCCAUCAUCUUCGUCAAACUCAUGAUCAUCUGAUUCAUUAGUAUCCACAUCUGAUUUGAUCACUGUCAGUAAUUUUGGUGGUUCUAGUGCCCACUGCAUUGCCCAUAUGGCCAGAGGCCUCAUGUAGCUAAUUGAACGGUAGUGCCCAUCUGUGUUCCAACCCUCAGGAGUUUGGAAAGCAUAGCUGUUUUGGAACAAACCAAAACAAAAACAAAUUAAAUUAAAUUAUAUCAAAUGAAUGAGACUAAAAAUCAUUGACGAACCUUUGCCCAUCUUCACUCCAUGAAGUUUCAUAUAUCCCUUGUGCAGUUUUAAAACCUUUUUUAACCAUGCCUUCUUGAAUCAUAGAAGAUGCAACGGCAUAUGUCACUCCCGUCCAUAUCUCCUUGGACUGCAUUGCACUUCCAUCAACAGUGCCAUUUGGUCGCAUCCCAUUCACAGCUCCCACCUUUCCACCCCCAACCUUUAAGACAUUGAGAUCAAAUACCUUCUCCAGUGCAAUCAGAGCUUUCGCAUCAUCGACAAUAGGAAGAAGACCGCAUGCUCUAGCAUACCUAAAAUUUACAUGGCGUUGUAUUAUUCAUUUAUUUUUAAGUUUCUUCAUUUGAAAUUUAUAAACUACUAAGUGUAUGUACCAUUGUCCAGCCAAUUGAUCAGCUUGUAUCGAGGAGCUUACACUGCUUCCACUGUUGUCAUAGUUGAAGUAAGAUCCAUUCCAUAGUUUUUCUGUAAACACAUUUUUAGCCCUUUGAAAUCUAUUCCAGAAGUACUUUUGAGAAACUUUAUCGCCUAAUAUUGCAGCCAUUGCUGAAGCAGCUUGCAAUGCUGCAACCCACAGUCCCCCUGUGUAAGCACUCACACCAGAAACUGACCAAAAAUCAUAUGUUUGAUCAGGGAAACCUUCAUUCUCAAUCAUCCCAUCUCUAUCUUUGUCAAAUUGAUCCAUAUAAGCUAGUGCCAUAUAAACCGAAGGCCAUACAUCUCUUGCAAAAGAUUUAUCUUUUGUAACCACGACAUCUCGAUAAACUUGCAGAACAAAUUUUGGAUUCAAGUCUUUCCAUCUAUCUGUAUUGUGAAAUUUAUAAGCAUUUACCUCAAACCAGGGAUCAUUCUGUCCCAAGUCAUGAGGAACUGCACCCAAAACUUUUCUAUAAACAAGCUUGCCAUCGGCAUUCAUUUGCACUUUCUCAGGAUCAUCCAUCAUUACUGCAGCUGCAAAAUCUCGUUGGAUAGCAAGUUCAAGCUUUGGGAACAACAUGACCAAUGCAAAUGAUGCAUAGAAAUGGACAUCGUAUGUGUUCCACAUAGUAUACUCAAUCCCUUCAAAAUAGAGAAACUGGCCAAUGUUUUCCUCUCCUUCUUCAAGUAACCUCGUCCCAAAUGCUGAAUUUGACAUGAUCGGUGAAUUUAUUUUCUCGUAUAACGUUGUCAUCUUGUCUAGAACAUGAGCUGCUGUAGAGAAUUGGUUGUUGGAGGUGAAAUCUAUUGGGCUGGUUGUAUUGAUGGAGAACUUGUCUGUUUGAAUGCCUGCCAAACUUUUUAAUGGAGGCGAUCCAUCUAAAAAUGAGAUAUGAAAAUCUUAGAAUUGCAGUUUCAGAAUCCAAACUAAACUUCACCCACAUAUAUAGACUGUAUUAAACAAGGUUUAAAAUCCGACAGUUAACCACCGGUUAACCAGCUGACCAGUAGAUUAGUGCUAACCGAUGAUUAGUUAGUGGUAUUCGGGUCAGAUCCAACCCGAAUACCCGAUACGUUUUAAAAAAUUUAAGGUUUAAAAGCUACGUAGAAAACUACAAUUUCUUGAAAAGUGAAAACUAGUAUUUUACUAUCUAGAAUACUAAAACUUCAUUUCUAUUACAAUUUAUUACUAUGUUUGAAUUUGGAUUUUUAUUACUAUUUUCUUUGAAUUUGAUAUCUAUUAGACUAUUACAAUUAUAAUUUAAACAGGUUUUAUUUAUAGACAGGAUAUAUACUAUAUUUAUAUUCAAAAUUGUAAAAGUACCAGAAUACCCCUACCGGUUACCCACUGGUUAACCGGAUAACCGGUCAGUCAGAACUGGUUACCGACUUACCGGUUAACCGGUUUUUAAACCUUGGUAUUAAAUGCAGGAACACAUUUACCUGUCCAAACUGUUCCUCCCCCAUUAAGAUAAUAGAGCUCAUUGAAUAGUGUAAUUGGAUACCUGUAGUUUAUACUUUAGAUUCAAUCUGCUAAAAAAUAAGUUUGUUUGAAAUUUUGAAUGAUUGAUAGAUUUAAUUUACCAGUCAGGAAGAUUCUUGUCUUGCAGAACAGGUCUUUGCCAUUCUUCAAUCUGAGCUUCCCAUUUCUCAUGCUCUAAUGGAGAUCAAAAGUUGAAAUCUCAAUUGUAAUAGUAAGAAGGUAGUAAAAAAUAGUCACAUUUCAGGUCAGGUAAUUAAUGUUUUUUACCGAAAAUAGCAUCAUGUGCAAGAUUAGAUGCAGCGACAUCUUCUCUUAUGCCGUAGAAUUUGGUGUAACGCCUGUUAUUGGUUUCUUGUCAAUUUAAAUUGAAUAAUUUUUCUAGUUUGUUAUCAACAUCUCAAUAGAAGGAAAUAGUUGGCUGACCGACCUUUUAUAGAUUCUUCCAGCAGGAAAUCUUACAUCUGGGGAAGCCCAUGACAGGGAAAAUGUGAUGGUUCGGACGGAGUGUGCUGGGACAGUUACCAAACACGCAACUGAUGCUCCAAUCGACGAUCCUUCUUCUGAAGGAGUUGAUAUAUUGCUCUGAUCAAGGUGAUCGAAUGAUCCGUGCUUUAAAGAAGAAAGUUUUAUCAAAGAUAUGUUCAUAUAUUCUGAUAUUUAAAAAGAACAAAAUCAUAUUUAUCGAACCUUCUUUAUUUCAUCCCACAUAUUGCUUGCUGUGAAACCUUUAGAGUUUCCAGAUAUUAAGAAGAAUGGGCACUUGGAAACAUGUACAUCUUCAGUUUCCUGUGCUGCUAUGGCAAAUGUUACUGGAGACUGUUCACUUGCCGUUCUGCAUAGUCGAACAAAAUUACAUCAGAAUUUACAAGUUCUUUCUCUGGUUUGAGUUUUUUUUUUAAAUCGACUUGCCUGUGAUGUAAAAGAACACCAUGCACACCAUUCUUUUCCCUGCAUUAUAUGACAUUAGAAUCCUAAUGUAAGAAAAAAUUCAGUAGAUCAUGAAUUGGCUAAAGAUUGGACCUACAUCAUUUUUGAAUUGUAGUGUUUGCCAGUAAAUUCAGAUUUUCCUCCAACUGAGUUCUGCAAGAAUAUUUGUUAUAAUUCUGAUAAGGCUUAUUGAAUAUAUAGGCCUUAACCCACAAUUAUAUAUUCAAGGUGCUUGUGGGUUAUAAGUUUAUUUUCUCUUUGAUUUCUGAGACAAGGAAAGCAUCUUGAUCCAAACACCUUGAGUUUGUCAUAGUCUGGAAUUUUGUUAGAUAAAGCCUCUAAUGGUGAUAUAUUUCCAAGUGUGGUGGUUGGAUUCAAAUUAUAUAUAUGUGUUGCUGCCACUACUGCAUAAGACCAGAAUUGAUCAGGGAGAGAACAAAAAUCCAGCAUGGUGAUUGCUGUAUCUACUAUGUGUCUGUGAUGUCUUUCCACACUCCCCAUCUGUUGAUGGCUAUAAGGAACAGAAAAUCUGUGAAUAAUACCCAAUCCUUCAAGAUGCCUUGAGAGUUUCUUAAAUUCCAGAGCAUUAUUGUUUAAUUGGAUGACCACACUGUAAUUCCACCAUUUUUCUGAAGUUAUCAAACACCUCAGAAACUUGUGAUUUAUUGGACAAGAGAUAGAUCCAAUUAUGGUUGGUGUAAGCAUCUCAACGAAAUUAAUAAAAUAUUUAAAGCCAUCAAUUGAAAGAGUGGGAGAGGGACCCCAAAUAUCAGCAUAGAUCAGUUCCAACGGAUAUGUGUACACAGAGGUAGAAGAUUUAUGAGGAAGAGCAUGAUCUUUCCCAAUAUGACAAGACGUGCAAUCUUCUACUUUGUUACAACUUGAACUAAUCAGACCUCUCUUAAUUAAAGAUAAUACAGAUUUAAAAUUAAGAUGUCCUAGACGACAGUGCCACACCUCACUUGACACUUUUGAUUUCUCUACCAUAGAAACUUCAAGUGGGUGUUUUAUUGAGAGUGACAUUGGAUAAAAUCCAUCCUCCUCUUGAUCCACAGUGAGAACCUUCUUAGUUUCCCGAUCCAUGACCUUGGAUUGCUGUUCAUUAAAUUCAAUAGCCACAUGAUUAUCUUUACAAAAAAAUUUGACAGAUAUGAGGUUCCUGUUAGCAUCUGGAACUACUAGAACAUCAUUAAGAAUAAAAUCAGAUCCUUGACAAGAGAAUUCUGCUCUUCCCAAGUGAGUAAUCUCCAUACCUUCACCAUUGGCAGUCCUAAUACAUUCAGACCCUGUAUAUGGACGUAUAGAGUGGAGAUUUAUACCUGAUUGAGUCACACUAGAGUUUGCUGCUGAAUCCUGAUACCACCUAGCAUUUCCCCCUGAACCAGAUCUGAUCAUGUUGGCAGAAGGAGUUUUGCUGUCAGAGUACUGACCAGGACCAUUGGGAGACAGUGUUCUGCGAUGAUCCGGAGGAAAACGGGAGAGAUUAAUCCUGUUGUAACAAUUCUUCCCGAUAUCACCUUUCUUUGAACAUAUUUGACACCAAAUAUCCUUGUUCAGCCUUCCCGGAGCAUUUUGGCGAUAGAAACCAGGAGAUUUUGCAGCCGCAUUGACUUCGGGAUGAAGAGAAGUAGCAUCCUUCUUUAGUUCCAGGUCAUGAUUCAGAAUUAAUUGUUGAAAUUCCAGGAACUUCGUGUUGUGAUCAAACCUCGUGAUGAUAGAGGUUUUGAAAGACUGGAAUUCUGAUCCAAGACCUCCCAACGUGAUGAGAAUCACUUGUGAAUCCUUGAGAAGUUCUCCAGCACAUGAUAGUUGAUCUCUCAUCAACGUUAUUUUCUUCAAGUAUUCAAUCAUUGUUAGGUUUCCCAUCUUGAUUGUUUGAAGAUUUUGCCGUAGGUGUAGGAGACGAGUCUCUGAACCUGAUGCAAAUAGAGAUUGGAGCGUAGUCCAGACCUCUGCAGAAGUUUGAAGAGCAGCUACCUGCGGCAUAAUCGAUGAUGAUAGCGAGGUGUAGAUCCAGCUUCUGAUAAGUGAAUCCUGCUGAUCUUCCAGGGAAUCUGCCACGAUAGUGACUUUCCCAUCAUCAUAGCGAGUGAGAUUGAAUCCCUUCAGCAUGGUGGCGAACUGAGCGGACCAGCUGAAGUAAUUUGUAUCGUCGAGAACGAUACAUUUUGGAGCCUUCAUAUUGUUGCUGACGAUUGUUGAAUGCCGGUGGUUGCGGAAGCUGAAGAUUGACUGGCCGAUGAUACCAAGCUUUUUGACGCGGCCAGGCGACCAGGCGAUGCCUGGGACCGCAUACCGCAUAUGCGACCGCCUGGUCGCAUAUGCGGUCAAAUAUGCGACCAGCGGUAUUACCUUGUAAUCGCAAAAUACAGUACUACCGAUUCAAAAUACAGUACUACCUAGAAAGUAGAAACGCGAUUUCUACCUAGGGCGAUUUCGAUUUCUACCUAGCACGAUUCCGAUUCCGAUUCAGUAGCAGGCCAGGCGACCAGCGGUUCAGACUUCAGGUUUCCGAUUUCCGUUUUCACGAUUUACUGAUUAAGGGUUUUUAGUGUUUUUUAUUUAAAUGGGUCUUUUUAAUAAGGUCCUUAAGUUUUAAUAAAAAUAAUACAAUUCAUUUAAAGUUUUUAAAUUUCAAUAGGGUUAAUGGAUCGGGUUUAUCCGGAUCCGACCCGGAUCCGGCUAAACCCAAUAAUAUGCGACCCCCCAAAUAUGCGAUGGGGGGUUACCGCCUGGUCGCAUAUGCGCAUAUGCGACCAAUCAAAAAGCUUGGAUGAUACCAUAUCAAAGAUAUGAAUUGAAAUGAGAGUUGGUAAAGAUUGGCAAUGAAAACCGUGGUUUGCAUUAGCCACAGCCUAUUGAAUAUAUAGGCUGGGAAAAGUAAAAAGUAGAUCUCAACUACCUUGAGGUAGUGGAUCAGUACAAUAUAAUAACAGAAAUAAAGUGAAACAGUAAAGUAAUUCUACUUUAACUAAUUAGAGCAAAUAAUUGUAUUUACUCUAAUAUUUACUUUAACAGGGCUAUAAGGGAUUGAUUAUAAAUUUCAACUUACAGUCCAAGUGAACAACAGAGUUGCUUCAGCAGAGGUAUCUCCCGAAUUAAUUAGCUGAAUCAAUUAAUCAAAUACAAAUGCAUAAAAACUCUAAAAUUUGAAUCAAUAUAUCCUGAAUCGAUAUUUUUUCGAAAAGAAAUCAUACUGUAAAUGAAAAAAUUGCUACUGGCAAACUACUUUGUUCAUAGUUGUUGGGAAUUAUUGGUGUUAUCUGACGACUAAUUAUUGUGAACAUUGAAUCAGGUACUCCUGCAUUGACAAAAGUAAAGAUGAUAUUGACAGAAAAAGGAUAAAAAGUAUGAACUUAUUCGAUCACCUUCGUAAACGGUCCAAGCCCUAGGAUACAAAGCAUGAUAUGUACAAUCAGAUCCAUUCAAGUUCCAAUCCCAAGAACUGCUUCCAUAUUCACUACCGUUCCUGCACAUCAAUAUUUCAUCAAUAAUCUAAUCUUAAAACCCAAUGGUAAAACGAAUUUAUUUUUAUUUUUACUUAAGAUGUUCUUCAUUUCUGGGAGACAAAACUGUAGAUUUCCUUUUACCAUUAGCUCGUUUGACAAAUACCGAAAAUUGAUUGGCUAAUAUCGGUUGUUCCUCCCAUUUUCCAGGAAAUAGUUGAAAUCUCUGAAACUCACCUCGAUAGCUUCUUCCUAUACUUCCUGCACUGAAGAUUUUGAAGGGAAGAAGAAAACCUUUAAAAAGCAGUGAUGGUGGUGAAUAAAACCAGAGCUCAAACUCACCCAAUCCCACCAAGUGG